GACGAACGCUGGCGGUGUGCUUAACACAUGCAAGUCGAACGGUAAGGCCCUUUCGGGGGUACACGAGUGGCGAACGGGGGCGUAACACGGGGGUAACCUUCCCUCAUCUCUGUUAUAACAGGCGGAAACGGUUGCUAAUACUGGAUAUGAGCUUGCAGGGCUUCUUGUGGGUUGGAAAGAUUUUUGUUGGUUGGGGAUGUACUCGCGGCGUAUCAGCUUUUUGGUGAGGACGUGGCUCACCAAGGCUUCGACGGGUAGCCGGCCUGCGAGUGCGACCGCACACACUGGGAUUGAGCUACGGGCCACAGUCCUACGGGAGGCAGAAGGGGCGAAUACUGCAUCAUGGCAGGACGUCUGAUGCAGCAACGCCGCGUGCGGGAUGACGGCCUUCGGGUUGUAAACAGCUUUCAAUUGUGACGAAGCUCUUUUGUGACGGUAGCAGUAGAAGAAGCACCGGCUAACUACGUG
RNAcentral lists this ribosomal RNA (468 nucleotides) under uncultured bacterium. Its description in RNAcentral is "partial 16S ribosomal RNA". It matches the Rfam family "Bacterial small subunit ribosomal RNA", at positions 28 to 507 of the family's 1533-position model. The record is from RNAcentral.